AGGUCAAGCGCGAGAGUAAGAACUACACAAGGAGUUAGAGUACCUUAGCAAAACUUUGCUAUCAGGUGGGCAAUUUCUUACGCGUAAAUAAAAUGCUAUGCAAAUGUUAUGCUUUAAAAUGCAAAUUGGAUCUUCAAGUAUGGUAUGCUUUAUUACGCUUAAAUGAGUUAAGCUUUAUUAUGCUGCACGUUAAAUGAUUUACGCUAUGCUGUUUAUACUAUUACGCCUAUGUAAUUUACGCUUGAUUACACUUAUUUACGCUUGAAUGCUUUACGCUGAUAAGUUUAUGCUUAUGUUUGAUGCUUGCGUCUGUUGGGGGAGGCCUCCCUCAACAGUACGAUGCCGUGUCCGUUGAGGAGGGCCUUCCUCACGGCGCGAUGCCCGUGUCCGCUGAGAGAGGCCUCUCUCGCGGCGCGAUGCCAGUAUGCCAGUAUGCCAGUGUUACAGCGUCUAGUUGGGGGAGCCCUCCCUCAAUAGUACGAUGCCGUGACCGCUGAGGGACGGCCCCCUCUCACGGUGCGAUGCCCGUGUUCGUUGGGGAAACCUUCUCCACGACACGAUGCGUGUUUAGAUUGUUAAUGAUGAAGAUGCGCUCAUGCUGUUUAGAAUUUGGAAAUGUUUAAAGAGCAAAGGUAUUUGAAAAGAAACUUAUGCCUCUUAUGCGAUGUUGUGUUUUGUUGUUGAUGUUAUGUUAUAUGUUUGGCAACUGCCCACUAAGUACUCUUGUACUUAGCCCUUCGUUGUUUAUGUUUGUGCAGGUUGAGCUGUGAUGGGGCGAUGAAGUAUUGCUGAGUGGAGUUUUUGUUCGAACUUAAAGUAGGCUCAGAAAGGAUACAUGUCUUCAUACAUGUAUCUCAGUUAUGCAUUCCGACUGUAAACACUGAUUAUUUCAGUUAGGCCUUCCGUUGCAAACUCUGAUAAUGUUUUUAGCCAAGCCCCUAACGAUGCCUUAUUCCUUUUUAAGGAAUAUUUCACGCGUAUUCAAGCUCUUUGAGUAUUCUUUUAUGNAGAGAGGGGAGUGUCGGCUGUGAUUGAGGUAAAAGGAGAGAUGGGAGAGAGAGAAGGACCGAGAGUCUAAAGAGAGAGAGUUUGGGCUGCAAUUCUUUUCUUUUGGGCCGAAUUCUUUUAAGCUUGGGCCUUAUUCUUUAUUUUGCUGAUGGGCUCUAAUUGUUUAAAGAAUUUGGGCUUAUUCCUUUUUAAAAUUUUGGGCUGAGAAUUGUUUUAAUGGUUUUGGGCUUCCAUAUAAUGAUUUGAACUGGCCAAUUAAAUCAUCUGGGCGUGAAAUAUCUUAAAGUUGGGCCGAACAUUGGGAAGAAUUGCAAGAAAAGAUUGGGCUUCACAUAUAAAUUCGAAAUGGGCCAGUUCUUUUAUUUAAUUGGCCCUUCUCAUUAUUUCUAUUGGGCUCGAUUAAUUAAGGAGUUGGGCUGAUGCAUAUUUUAUGAUGGGCUAUUAUUCUAAUCCCAUUUAUAUUUCGUUGGGCCAGUUUAAUUCAUCACUUGGGCCGAUUAAAUUGCCUAUUGGACUAAGAUUAAUUCUUUCCAGCCCACAUUAAUUAUUAUCUGGACCCCAAUUUAAAUUAUUUUAGCUCGAAGAAUUUUUAACUUAGGCUAAUUUUAAAGCUUGAGCUGAAGUUACUCCUUUGAGCCUACAGAUCUAUUUAGUGAGCCCAAUUAUUUAUCAGUGGGUGAGCCGAUUCGUAUUCAGUAAAUGAGCCGCCCAGUUUAUUAAUUAUUGUUUUUGGACUUCAGACUUUAAAGCAAGCCAUUAUUGUUUAUUUCAUUAAAGCCACUGGUUUAUUUAAUUAAUUGGCUACUCUCUUUUGAGCCUAUUAAUUAUUUGAGGUUACAUAGUAAUUAUGUUUCUAUCGAAAAGCCCGAUAAAUUUCUACGAGGUCACACCUCGUUUAAAGCCGAGUUAGUCUAUUUUUCGAUCGAGUACAAAGGCGAGGUUUAUUUCACGACUAGAAUAUUCCGAUGAGGAAGGAAGAAUCACAGUUUUAUUCGACCGCGUUAGACGAGAAUUAGCUAAAUCUAUUAACGAGGAUUAAUAGUAGAAUUCCCGAUUAUCGCUCAGAAGAUUAGUUCAUGCAUACCAGAUUCAUGCAUAGUUAAAUUACGCUUUCUCAUUAAUUGAGAAUUUUCCUCGAGGCAAUGUCUUAUUUUAUAUUCUCGUGAUUAAGGUCAAGCGCGAGAGUAAGAACUACUCAAGGAGUACAGUACCUUAGCAAAACUUUGCUAUCAGGUGGGCAAUUUCUUACGCGUAAAUAAAAUGCUAUGCAUGUGUUAUGCUUUAAAAUGAAAAUUGGAUCUUCAAGUGUGGUAUGCUUUAUUAUGCUUUACGCUAAAUGAUUUACGCUUGAUUACGCUUAUUUACGCUUGAAUGCUUUACGCUGAUAAGUUUAUGCCUGUGAUUGAUGAUUGCGUCUGUUGGGGGAGGCCUCCCUCAACAGUACGAUGCCGUGUCCGCUGAGGAGGGCCUUCCUCACGGCGCGAUGCCCGUGUCCGCUGAGAGAGGCCUCUCUCGCGGCGCGAUGCCAGUUUGCCAGUGUUCCAGUGUUGACACCGACGUCGAUACUAGCGUCUAUUGGGGGAGGCCUCCCUCAAUAGUACGAUGCCGUGACCGCUGAGGGAGGCUCCCCCUCACGGCGCGAUGCCCGUGUUCGUUGGGGAAGGUCCUUCUCCACGACACGAUGUUUGUUAAUGAAGAUUAUGAUUGUCAAUAAUGAAAAAUGCCCUUAUGCUAUUUAUGAAUUUGGAAAUGUUUAAUGAGCAAAGGAUAUGAAAGAAACUUAUGCCUCUUAUGCGAUGUUGUGUUAUGUUAUUAAUGAUUGUUAUGUUAUAUGCUUGGCAACUGCCCACUAAGUACUCUUGUACUUAGCCUACGUAUGUUUAUGUUUGUGCAGGUUGAGCUGUGAUGGGCGAUGAAGUGUUGCUGAGUGGAGUUUUUGUCGAACUUAAAGUAGGCUCAGAAAGGAUACAUGUCUUCAUACAUGUAUCUCAGUUAUGCAUUCCGCUGUAAACACUGAUUAUUUCAGUUACACCUUCCGUUGCAAACUCUGAUAAUGUUUUAGCCAAGCCCCUAAAAAUGCCUUUUUC
Molecule: long non-coding RNA, 3095 nt
Filed under: Salvia miltiorrhiza (redroot sage)
Lineage: Eukaryota; Viridiplantae; Streptophyta; Magnoliopsida; Lamiales; Lamiaceae
Description: long non-coding RNA (SMIL_LNC004821)
Source: RNAcentral